This is a long non-coding RNA of Sabethes cyaneus, 1120 nucleotides long. RefSeq lists it as uncharacterized. The transcript is spliced from 3 exons. The record is from RefSeq and is a predicted model, not a curated record. Lineage: Eukaryota; Metazoa; Arthropoda; Insecta; Diptera; Culicidae.
UCUUUAUACCACUGAUCUGUCGUAUUUUGUUUUUCAUUUUGUAGUAUCAAAACGACGUCCUUAAUUAAAAGUUCGUGCUUGAUUACAGCGUUAGAACGAGUACCUUCUUUGGCUAGCAUAUCAGCAAUGUCGUUGCCCGUAAUGUUAAUAUGGCUAGGAAUCCACUGGAUAGAAGUAUUCCACCUACGACAAUUGAGUGUACAAGCUGCGAGGGAGUCGGUUAAUAUUACAGCAUCUUUUAAUUCAUAUCGAAGAACUUGUUCUGUUGCUAUCCGGAUUGCAAUCAUCUCGGCCGUCAUUGUUGACGUCUCGUAUUCCAAACGAUAACACAUUCGUUGCUUAUUAGUUUCUAUAAAGAUUCCUACACCGCAUACAUCACCGGUCUUUGAAGCAUCCGUGUAUAAUUUUGGAGAGUACUGAUAUUUCCCGUACAGGAGGCCUAGCACUAAUUGUUUCAUUUUGAUGGGGUUUGAUUCUGUUUUUCGUAUUACCAUACCGAUAUUUAAAUAAAUUUUAACCUUCUCCGUAGACUGAACGAAUGUUUUGAAUGGACUUAUAUACUCAAACAUCUGGCGAUUUUCCACGAAUAUUUUUUCAAUAAAUAUCUAAGGGUGUUGCGCAUACGCCGCACCUACUGUUGAACACAUGGAUCGCUGAACUGGACUCACCUUGCAUACAGUUGACCGUGGUGUGUAAACAUUGGAUGGAGAACUGUCACUGCCGAUUCUUGCAAGUCACGAGGAGAAUUAAAAUCGCUUUCUACGGACAUUUUCUUAAAGAUAAUUAAAUAAUAGUGGGAUUAAAAGUUAUUGCUAUAUAGUACGGAUAAAUACUGCUGAUAAGGCUAAAAUUUACUUAAUAAUAGUACGGAGUUUUGCUUAAUGCUAGUAUAAAUUAUCUAGAGUAUAAAACUUAAAUAAGGUUAGUACGACUCUACUUGAAGCUAUUGAUAAAACGAAUACUUAUUUAACAUUAAACCUAGCUUAGACCCGUGCAAACAGUUUCGCUAUCGCUCCGGUUGAAAUUACAGAAAAUCCAGGAAACUUACAAACGUAUGUAAUAGAUUUAAUGUGCUACUAAAAAUAAUUACGAAUUAUCAACUGUUACAGGAAAAUUUUAA